Molecule: non-coding RNA, 72 nt
Organism: Trichonephila inaurata madagascariensis
Lineage: Eukaryota; Metazoa; Arthropoda; Arachnida; Araneae; Nephilidae
Source: the annotation of a GenBank genome assembly
AGCUGGAUAGUUUGCUUUUAGACCGUUAGGCUUUUAACCUAACGGUCCAGGGUUCGAGUCCCUGUUCGGGCG